Molecule: ribosomal RNA, 386 nt
Filed under: uncultured bacterium
Lineage: Bacteria
Description: bacterial SSU rRNA
Rfam family: Bacterial small subunit ribosomal RNA
Source: RNAcentral
AUUGAACGCUGGCGGCAUGCCUUACACAUGCAAGUCGAACGGCAGCACGGGGGCAACCCUGGUGGCGAGUGGCGAACGGGUGAGUAAUACAUCGGAACGUGCCCGAUAGUGGGGGAUAGCUCGGCGAAAGCCGGAUUAAUACCGCAUACGACCUACGGGUGAAAGCGGGGGAUCGCAAGACCUCGCGCUAUCAGAGCGGCCGAUGUCAGAUUAGGUUGUUGGUGGGGAAAGGCCUACCAAGCCGACGAUCUGUAGCUGGUCUGAGAGGACGACCAGCCACACUGGGACUGAGACACGGCCCAGACUCCUACGGGAGGCAGCAGUGGGGAAUUUUGGACAAUGGGCGAAAGCCUGAUCCAGCCAUGCCGCGUGCGGGAAGAAGGCCU